RNAcentral lists this ribosomal RNA (253 nucleotides) under uncultured bacterium. Its description in RNAcentral is "partial 16S ribosomal RNA". It matches the Rfam family "Bacterial small subunit ribosomal RNA", at positions 524 to 776 of the family's 1533-position model. The record is from RNAcentral.
GACGGAGGGUGCAAGCGUUGUUCGGAAUUACUGGGCGUAAAGGGCGCGUAGGCGGUCUGUUAAGUUCGGUGUGAAAGCCCCGGGCUCAACCUGGGAAUUGCAUUCGAGACUGCAUUGCUGGAGUACGGAAGAGGAAGGCGGAAUUCCCGGUGUAGCGGUGAAAUGCGUAGAUAUCGGGAGGAACAUCAGUGGCGAAGGCGGCCUUCUGGUCCAGUACUGACACUCAAGUGCGAAAGCGUGGGGAGCAAACAGG